This 579-nucleotide long non-coding RNA is filed under the name Manihot esculenta (cassava). Its description in RNAcentral is "long non-coding RNA (MESC_LNC007680)". Lineage: Eukaryota; Viridiplantae; Streptophyta; Magnoliopsida; Malpighiales; Euphorbiaceae. The record is from RNAcentral.
CGUGGAAUGCAACACAUCACAAGUAUUGCACAACAUCCAUUUCCCCGCUAGGGUAUAUCUGUUAAAAUGCUAGCAAUCCUCUUUCCCUAGCGGGUUUUUAGAGGGUUCACGUAAACGUCCUUCCCCUCAGGGUUAGACAUGACCCAAAACUCCCUCUGUCAAUACUGGGCCCCCCAAGGAGCAUACACAGGGCUUUCCGACAUGUACUUGCCCAACUGACCUGACGCAAUGACAGGAACAUAGGCUAUUAGGGUCGCCUGGGUCCACCCAUCCUCAUCACAUAAAUCACAUAUUAUGCAAUGUCUCAUCUUCGUGCUUUCUAGUGCAAACACCCUAUAAAUAUCAUGAUGCAUGAAAUAUGCUGAAACAUUUAUUUAAAAAUGUAAAGGUUAGUUCCACUCACCUCUGGCUAAUGCUCGACUACUAGCUCUGAAACUGCAACUCAAAACCUCGGGUCCAAAUCUACACAAAUGGACACGAGUAAGGGUCUAAACUAGCUCAACAACAAUACUAGAAACUCCCCUUAAACCCCCCUAAAACAUCCUAAAACAAUCACAUAAAGCAUGCAAAGAAAGGCUG